GACGAACGCUGGCGGCGUGCUUAACACAUGCAAGUCGAACGGAAAGGCCCUGCUUUUGUGGGGUGCUCGAGUGGCGAACGGGUGAGUAACACGUGAGUAACCUGCCCUUGACUUUGGGAUAACUUCAGGAAACUGGGGCUAAUACCGGAUAGGAGCUCCUGCUGCAUGGUGGGGGUUGGAAAGUUUCGGCGGUUGGGGAUGGACUCGCGGCUUAUCAGCUUGUUGGUGGGGUAGUGGCUUACCAAGGCUUUGACGGGUAGCCGGCCUGAGAGGGUGACCGGCCACAUUGGGACUGAGAUACGGCCCAGACUCCUACGGGAGGCAGCAGUGGGGAAUAUUGCACAAUGGGCGGAAGCCUGAUGCGGCAACGCCGCGUGCGGGAUGACGGCCUUCGGGUUGUAAACCGCUUUCGCCUGUGACGAAGCGUGAGUGACGGUAAUGUGUAAAGAAGCACCGGCUAACUACGUG
RNAcentral lists this ribosomal RNA (468 nucleotides) under uncultured bacterium. RNAcentral describes it as "partial 16S ribosomal RNA". It matches the Rfam family "Bacterial small subunit ribosomal RNA", at positions 28 to 507 of the family's 1533-position model. The record is from RNAcentral.